RNAcentral lists this long non-coding RNA (5399 nucleotides) under Linum usitatissimum (flax). RNAcentral describes it as "long non-coding RNA (LUSI_LNC008067)". Lineage: Eukaryota; Viridiplantae; Streptophyta; Magnoliopsida; Malpighiales; Linaceae. The record is from RNAcentral.
AGACUUAAUAUAAGCAUACAAUACAAUGUUGAUAGAUAGGCCAACAUGGCAACAUUAUACAUAUUAUUGGGUGGGUCUUAAAUACAUAAAACUUCAGAUAAGCAUAAAACACAAUUCAUGUUCUCAACACCAAGAUUACUAGAGACCAACAGAUGACCUUAUAGAGGAUGGAUGAGCAAUGUGAGGUUCACCAGUCAUCAUCAUAACCAUCAUCCUCCCUUAUUUCGCUUUCAUCAUCAUCAUCAUCGAAGAUUGUACGAAUGUAAGGGAAACCAAUCAUCAUAAUCAUAAUAAUCAUAAUCAUCAUCCGAACCUUUAAUAAGAUAUGGAUCCUCAAAUAUUCUUUUCCGAAACAUGAUGAGAGCUUGCCUACUUAAACGAUCUGUUUGCAGAGAAACAAAUCCAACAAAUUCAAGACCAAGAAGCAUAAACAGAGAAUUAAGGACACAAUCCGCACAAAGAUUAUAUAUUUUACCGAAUUCAGCUAUUUUCAUACCUUCCCCAUAUCUAAGGUAACCGCUAGCAAAUAGUUUAGACUUCAAAUACCGGGUUAACCGAGUCCGGAUACCGACUGGACGUAAAGGCCCUAUUUGCAGAGAAACAAAUCCAACAAUUUCAAAACCUGGAAGCAUAAACAGAGAAUUAAGAACCAAAACAAUACUCAAAUUCAAUAUUAAUUUACCGGAUUCAGCUUUUUUCAAAGCUUCCCCACAUCCACUCUGAUCGCUGGCAUAUGGUAUAAAAUUCCAGUUAGUUAAAAGAGCCUCCUUUUCCUCAAUAGUAUAUGUACGUGAAGACGAAGGGGCUCUGAAACCAGGACCUGAGCUUUUUAAAAAUUCAACCAACUGUUGAACAGAAACAAAUCAACAAUCUGUUACGUACUUACAACAUAAAUAUAGUGCAGAAAGCAAGUAUACAAUCUCCAAAAUGAUUCUUACCUCGGCACUGAGUUUCUGGGGGCUAUUAAGAUCUGUUGCACGGAAACAAAUCAACAAAUUAAGGUCAGCUGCUGCUGCUGUCACAAGAAGCAUAAACAGAGACAAGGACAACACAAAAAUCCUCAAAAUGAUUUACCACUUACUGAAACCUACCGUGACUGCCGGCAGAUGGUAUAGGCUUGGAAGACUCAGUUAACCGAUCCUCCUUUUUCUCUUUAUCAACGAGAGCCUGUGCUCUUUUCUUUGCUUUUCUCUGUUGUUUCCUCUUUUGAUUUUUGAUUCUUUUCCUGAGAGAAGAACAACUCGAACUUGGCCUUUCUUCCUCCGGCUGCUGCUGCUGCUUCAAUAAGGCAAGCUUCUUCCUCGCCUUGCUUGCCCUCUUCUUUUCUCUUUUCAUUUGACUUUUUGUUUUUUCAAUCAUCAUCGACCUUUCUCCAACCACAAUCUUCUCAGACACCAACUUGUCCAAAUUCAACUUUUUGUCAGAAAUAUGAUUCUCGUUAUGAUGAUUAUCUAUCAAAACACCCAGCAGUUUCCUUCUACCUAACCCUCCUCCCUCCUUCUUGGAUAAUUUGGAGGCAUCAUCAGUCGAACAACGCACAUCUAUCCUUGACGCCAUUGUUGAUUCAACUUUUAUACUGCCAGAAAUCGGAAACAGGAGCGACCCAAUCUAAUCUAGGGUUUUAAUAUUUCCUUCUACGCCCCGAUCGAAAAAAUCUUCUUUGAUACUGUACGAAAUCAGAAACAGGAGCAACCCAAAUUAAACUUGGAUCUAAUCUAAUGCAAUCUAGGGUAUUAACAGGCCUAGACAUCCAAUCGAUAGAGGAGGACUUACUGCUGUGCUGCAGAUAUCCCGUAGUUCUUGAUCUUCGUCGAAUCGCAGUUUCCAGAAUUGCAGAGCGAUUAUUGGAAGGAAUAUAUGAUGGGAAUGGAUAGCCAAGAGCUUCAAUUGUUUAGGGUUCCUACCGACUUCACGUCUAGACUUUUGCUUUGUCGCCUCAUCUCUCUCGCAGCACAGCACUCAUUUUCUGAGGCCCAAAUAAAAUAGAAUCAGACCCAUAACUUAUAACAGGCCUAACACAUAAUACAAUUUUUUGGAGUUGAUAAACUCUGAUCCGUAAUUGUCGACCCAGCGGUUAAUCGGCUCAAGUUUCAGAGACGAACCAGCAUACGCAGUCUUUAAUCGGCUCAAGUUUCCGAGACAAACCAGCAUACAUUGUCUUGGGAUUUGGUCCAAGAAGUAGUAAUAUUGGUUCAAUUGGAUUUCCUUUGCCAUCGAUCAUUGAUUGGAUUAGGCAGUGGUACGUACUAUAAGCAUAUGAUUAUGUAAUAGACAUAGUUCGUGUUGCAAAUUUUUUCAAGAAUUUAUCAGUAAAGGUCGACCAACCCACCAGUUAAUCGACUCAAGAUACGGAGGAGACGAACCAGCACACGCAGUGGCUAAUCGACAUAAGUUUCGGAGGCAAACCAGUAUACAUAGUAUAGGGAUUUGGUCUAAGAAGUUGCACUACAUUAAAAGCAUUCUGUAUCAACAAACCUGAAACUAAAACCUCUAGACAAAUCCACUCUUAAAUACACUUAAUCGCAGCUUUGAAAUGCCCUUCUGUACAUUACUGUGACUCGACCAGAUUGAUCUGACGGUUCAACAAAGCUCAGUUGACCGGAGGUACAUCCUGCUCGACCGGUUGGUGCGGCGGUACGAAGCCAUCACCGGCAGCAACAACGUUUCUCCGUUGUCGUUCACGGAGAUAGAGAACCGUUAGAAGACAGACGAAGAGGUCUAGAUCGUGGCAUUUCCUUCUUCCAUUAUCACCUUUUCCACCCAUGCCUCGACUCUCGGGAACACUUCUGGCAACGAAUCGAUCAUGCCGACCUACAUUUGGACAACACAAGACACAGAACCAUUCGAAUAAGCAUAUAUAGCAGUAGACGAGAGCAAGAAUGAAAAUUGCUCACUAAACGAAGCAACUAAACUAACCAUGAAACUACCGGUAUGGUUCUUUCGAACCCACAAAUUUGCCAGAGCGAGCCUCACUGGUAAUUUCCCAGCAGGAUCGACUUUAGCGCCUGAUCGUAGUAACACUUAGCAAGAUGUAGGUCAAGCGGAAGACCUUGUCCGUGCUCGUGCACCUAACCUAGGUUGAACAUGGCCUGUGCGUUGGAUUGAGACUUGGCAUGCAUGUAUGCUUCGGCCGCUCGUUCAUAGUCCCUUUCCGUACCCUAAACAAUGAAAUCAGCAGUCAGGAAUCUUAAACAAUAUUUUUAAAAAAUUAUUAUUUUGUAAAACACAAAAAUCAAAUAUGACCUAACAAUAAAAUUUAUAUCACUAAUAGGAGUUUUGUUGUUUCUUUCACAGAGGGAAUCGAAUGUCCCCACACUCCCCAACCUCAGCACAUUAAUAAUACUGUUUAUAUAGUCCCAUUCAAUCAUUUAAAGUGUCUGUCACUAAUUAAAUAUAAAUUAGUUCCAUAACCCUAAAAUUAAAAUUGGUUUGUGUCUAAAAUUAUUAAUAAAAUCAAUAAAUUAAGGACCAGAAGAAAGCAAUGGGCCUUCUUCUGAGUUGGGUUAGUGCAGUUGGGUAGGUGAGAGUGUGGGCCUCAGGUGGUCAAACAUCAAACAACACCGUUAUUCGAUUGGGCCUCUUCUGGGUCCGAAUAUACAUUGCCGGCCUGGAAUCACGAGCUGGUGGGUAAUUAGCUAAACAGUCUUUUCAGUUGGGCUUUUUGUAUAAAAGUCGUUCCCUUUCGAAAUUAUUUUCCUAAUUAUUCUCCUUUUAGUUAACUAGUUUUAUCACACUGAAUCAACUUUUUUUCCAGAGUGCAGUUGGACGAAGCGGUGUAUUGGUGAUUCGAAAAUAUCAAAUUUGAAUACAACAUAUUUUACGAAUAGACAUUUAAUAUAUGAUAUUUAUUUAUUUUUUAUCUUAUAAUUAUUAAGAGGUCUAGCCCGAUUCCAUCAUUACAUCUCCGAAUUUAAUUGUCUGCACGAAGAUUUUGUUAUUAUUCAGGGCUGCUGCAGCUGCUGAACCUUUCAUUGUCUUCUUCUUCCUCACUUAGGUUUUGAUUCUUUGAACAUGGAUAUUGAUGGAAUCCUAACUCUAAAUUAAAUAUAAAAAUCAAGUACAAUAAAUCUAACACUAAAAUAUUAAAGUGAAGUGGUACUAACUCAACCAAUAGGUAUAGGUAUUAAAGGAACGAAGGGGGACGAAACCUUAACAGGAAAGGUUUGCAUCUGAACCAAGAGUUGAAAUCAAAGAGUAAACUAGAGUCAAAUUUCGUCUUACUCGAUAUGUCACAUUAACUAUUAUGUGCUCGUGAAAAUCUUAACCAUUGAUUCCAUUUAUGUACCGUUUUUAUAUAGGAAUGGGAAGCAACGAAAUUACAAAAAAAUUAAGAAGGAAAAAAAAUUCGACAAAUAAUUCUUCUUCCUUCAAAAAACAAAUUUUGACUAAAUCAAUCCUUAUUUUAAAAAAAUAAAAUUCAAAGUUUUUUAAAAAAAACUUUUUGGGCUAAUCUUUCAUUUUACUUUUUAAAGGGUGGCAUUUUGUGACUCACGUUUUCAAUUUUCAAUAACACAAUCACAAUUAUUAUGUGAUUUACACCCUCUGACACAAAGUAAUAUUCGUUAAGUUGACUCUGAAAUUAUCAAAUAGAGUAUAUCACGCUAUAGCUUGAGUUACAAAAAAGAUGACGGAGUUGCAAACAAACUAUUUUCGAAUCAAGCGCCUCAGCAGCUCGGCUGUCUGCAACUUUACAUGAUGAAGGGCUUGUGGAGCUGUGGGAUUUUUCCAGCAACUUAGAUUUUUCUCAGAGAAAGACGUGGGCAAGAACAGAGCCCUUGCUUCUCUCCACAAGUUGCAAGACCAAAGACUUAAUAUAAGCAUACAAUACAAUGUUGAUAGAUAGACCAACAUGGCAACAUGAUACAUAUUAUUGGGUGGGUCUUAAAUACAUAAAAACUUCAGAUAAGCAUAAAACACAAUUCAUGUUCUCAACACCAAGAUUACUAGAGACCGACAGAUGACCUUAUAGAGGAUGGAUGAGCAAUGUGAGGUUCACCAGUCAUCAUCAUAAUCAUCAUCCUCCCUUAUUUCGCUUUCAUCAUCAUCAUCGUCGAAGAUUGUACGAACUUAAGGGAAACCAGCCAUCAUAAUCAAAAUAAUCAUAAUCAUCAUCCGAACCUUUAAUGAGAUACGGGUCCUCAAAUAUUCUUUUCCGAAACAUGAUGAGAGCUUGCCUACUUAAACAAUCUGUUUGCAGAGAAACAAAUCCAACAAAUUCAAGACCAAGAAGCAUAAACAGAGAAUUAAGGACACAAUCCGCACAAAGAUUAUAUAUUUUACUGAAUUCAGCUAUUUUCAUACCUUCCCCAUAUCUAAGGUAACCGCUAGCAAAUAGUUUAGACUUCAAAUACCGGGUUAUCCGAGUCCGGAUACCGACUGGACGUAAAGGACCUAUUUGC